This 411-nucleotide ribosomal RNA is filed under the name Paranchistus armatus. Its description in RNAcentral is "partial large subunit ribosomal RNA". The record is from RNAcentral. Lineage: Eukaryota; Metazoa; Arthropoda; Malacostraca; Decapoda; Palaemonidae.
AAUUUGACCGUGCAAAGGUAGCAUAAUCAUUAGCUUUUUAAUUGAAAGCUGGAAUGAACGGCUAGAUGAGAAAUAAACUGUCUAUCUUCACUAUAUAAAAAUUAACUUUUAAGUGAAAAGGCUUAAAUUUUUUGAAGGGACGAUAAGACCCUAUAAAACUUUAUAUUUAUUUUCUAUUAAACACUAAACUUAUGUUUAAAUUUUUUAUUAGGAUAAAUAUUUUGUUGGGGAGACAAAGAUAUAUUUGUAACUGUCUGUUUAAAUUUUAUAUUUAUAGAUAUUUUAUUUGAGCCUUUAUUAAGGAUUAUAAGAGUAAGUUACUUUAGGGAUAACAGCGUAAUUUUUUUUGAGAGUUCUUAUCGACGAAAAUAGUUGCGACCUCGAUGUUGAAUUAAGAUUUCAGAAAGGUGU